This 571-nucleotide ribosomal RNA is filed under the name uncultured bacterium. RNAcentral's name for it is "partial 16S ribosomal RNA". It matches the Rfam family "Bacterial small subunit ribosomal RNA", at positions 355 to 919 of the family's 1533-position model. The record is from RNAcentral.
UGGGGAAUUUUGGACAAUUGGGCGAAAGCCUGAUCCAGCAAUGCCGCGUGUGUGAAGAAGGCCUUCGGGUUGUAAAGCACUUUUGUCCGGAAAGAAAUCCUUGGCUCUAAUACAGUCGGGGGAUGACGGUACCGGAAGAAUAAGCACCGGCUAACUACGUGCCAGCAGCCGCGGUAAUACGUAGGGUGCAAGCGUUAAUCGGAAUUACUGGGCGUAAAGCGUGCGCAGGCGGUUUGCUAAGACCGAUGUGAAAUCCCCGGGCUCAACCUGGGAACUGCAUUGGUGACUGGCAGGCUAGAGUAUGGCAGAGGGGGGUAGAAUUCCACGUGUAGCAGUGAAAUGCGUAGAGAUGUGGAGGAAUACCGAUGGCGAAGGCAGCCCCCUGGGCAAUACUGACGCUCAUGCACGAAAGCGUGGGGAGCAAACAGGAUUAGAUACCCUGGUAGUCCACGCCCUAAACGAUGUCAACUAGUUGUUGGGGAUUCAUUUCCUUAGUAACGUAGCUAACGCGUGAAGUUGACCGCCUGGGGAGUACGGUCGCAAGAUUAAAACUUAAAUGAAUUGACGGGGU